This 253-nucleotide ribosomal RNA is filed under the name uncultured bacterium. RNAcentral describes it as "partial 16S ribosomal RNA". It matches the Rfam family "Bacterial small subunit ribosomal RNA", at positions 524 to 776 of the family's 1533-position model. The record is from RNAcentral.
UACGAAGGGGGCUAGCGUUGUUCGGAUUUACUGGGCGUAAAGCGCAUGUAGGCGGGUCGUUAAGUCGGGGGUGAAAGCCCGGAGCUCAACUCCGGAACUGCCUUCGAUACUGGCGACCUAGAGUGAAGGAGAGGCGAGUGGAAUUCCGAGUGUAGAGGUGAAAUUCAUAGAUAUUCGGAGGAACACCAGUGGCGAAGGCGGCUCGCUGGCCUUUUACUGACGCUGAGAUGCGAAAGCGUGGGGAGCAAACAGG